Molecule: ribosomal RNA, 253 nt
Filed under: uncultured bacterium
Lineage: Bacteria
Description: partial 16S ribosomal RNA
Rfam family: Bacterial small subunit ribosomal RNA
Source: RNAcentral
UACGUAGGGGGCUAGCGUUGUCCGGAAUCAUUGGGCGUAAAGAGCGUGUAGGCGGCUCGGUAAGUCCGCUGUGAAGGUCGGGGGCUCAACCCUCGAAUGCCGGUGGAUACUGUCGAGCUAGAGUGCGGAAGAGGCGAGUGGAAUUCCUGGUGUAGCGGUGAAAUGCGCAGAUAUCAGGAGGAACACCGAUUGCGAAGGCAGCUCGCUGGGACGUUACUGACGCUGAGACGCGAAAGCGUGGGGAGCAAACAGG